CAGAAUUUCAUAAAAGAAACAAAGGUUGAACUCAAAAAAUAUAAAUACGGAAUGAAAGCCCCAAACAUCGGGGUGUCACUGAUUCAUGUGCAAUUACUAAAAACUGGCCCGACCACAAUAAGACUAACAUAGUCUGGGAAAAAAAAUCCAAAAUACAACUAAGGGGAAGAUAAAGAAGAAGAAAAACAAGGUUGCGAUCGCCAGGCAGCUACCUUGCUAUCUCCGAUGAUCCGCUACUGAAUAUAUCGACAACCGCUACCGUGGCCAAAUGUCUGGAUCUGCACAUAAGGUGCAUGGAGUAACGUGAGUAUACCAACUCAGUAAGUAACAGCAGUAAAUAAAGUCUGAGAAGUAGUGACGAGCUAGAUGCAAGUAUAGUUCAUAUCACAAAAAUUCAGGUAAAGUACAACAUGCUUAAAAAAACCCAGUGUUUAAGUCAAAUCGACUUGUUCAAAUCCAGUUCAGGUAAAACUAAUAAAAAUAUCUUUCAACAGUUCUCAAACAAGGACUCAAAGCAGCUAUGAUCACACCGGAUGAAAUCAUAUACUGCCCCUCAGGCAAAACAUCACUCAGUCCUCCCAGUCACUCCAACCUCACAAUCACUCAUGCCUCCCAAUCGCCCAUGCCUCCCAAUCACUCAACACUAGGCACUCGCACUCAACAGGUACCUGCGCUCACUGGGGAUGUGUACAGACUCCGGAGGGGCUCCUACAGCCCAAGCAUUAUAAUUUGCACGAACAACUCACGUCCUGCAAUAUCAUAUCAGAAUCUGCACGGACAACUCACGUGCUAUAAUAUCAUAUCAGAAUCCGCACGGACAACUCACGUGCCAAGGUACAAUACCUCACAAACAUGCCCUCGGCUUCACUCAGUCAUAAACCUCUCUAGUCUUUCGGGCUCUCAAAAAUCAAAGAAAUCAGCCCAAACGACAUUAACAUGAUGCAACAAAUAGAAUAACAGAGACUGAGCUAUGAUAUAAGAAUGCAUGAAUAUGACUGAGUACGGGAUAUCAACUAAAGCAGUGAGAGGACAGUAAGAAAUGACCUCUAAGGGUCCAAACAAUACUGGCAUAAGGCCUAGACAUGGUAUCUAGCAUGAUUUAUAGUAAAUCUUUCGAAAGCAUAUAAAGAGCAUAUAACUACAACAUGUUGUUCAACUUUACAGUUGCUAUGGGACGGACCUAGUCACAAAUCCCCAAUGGUGCACGCCCACACGCCUGUCACCUAGUAUGUGCAUCACCUCCAAAUAGUCACAUGACACAAAAUUCGGGGUUUCAUACCCUCAAGACUAGAUUUACUACCGUUACUUACCUCAAUCCGAGCAAAUCUCUACUCUGCAAUGCCCUUGCCUCUCGAAUCGGCCUCCGAGCAUCCCGAAUCUAGUCAUAAGUAGUACAAUACCAUUAAUAUAUGCUAAAGGAAUCAAUUCCACAAGAAAAUUACUAAAUUAGACUCAAAACCCGAAAUCAACUCAAAUCCGACCCCCCAGGCCCACGCCUCGAAAUCCAAUAAAAGUCACAAAACCCGAAAGCUCAUUCACUCACGAGUCUAACCACAUGAAAUUCAUCAAAAUCCGGCAUCAUUUUGUCCCUCAAAUUACACUCUCCAAACUCCUAAGCUCUAACCCCCAAUUUUUACUUCAAACCCCACUAAUUAGAUGAGAAAUCAAUGGGAAAGCACCAUAGAUAGGAGUAUUAGAGCUCAAGCAACUUAUCUCUAUGAAAAUCCUUGAAUCCCCUUCAAAAAUCACUCCAAAAGCUCUAAGGUCCAACUUGAAAAUGGUGGAAAUGAACAAAAAUUCGCGAAGUCUUCUAUCUAUAUGUUCUGCCCAGGUUUUUGCACCUGCGACUCAAAAUGCGCACCUGCGGAGCCGCUUUUGCGCACAAAUCUCAGCAUCUGCGGAAAAUUGCUUAAGUGCCAUCUUCGCACCUGCGUUCCCUAUCCGCUUCUGCGACCUCGCAGGUGCGGAAAUGACCUCGCACCUGCGGCCACUGCCAGCCCUCCUCAUUUCCGCAUAUGCGACUCAGCCUCGCAUAUGCGUGCUCGCAGAUGCGACUACUUCUACGCACCUGCGGUUCUAGCCCGGGUCCUCCAUGUCCGUAUCUGCGGCUUACCAAGCGCACCAGCGACCUCGCACUUGCUGCUCCCCCUCCGCAUGUGCGAAAAUACUAGUAGCAGCAGCUUCAGCUGCAUUUUUCCAACUUCAAACAAUCCGUUAACCACCCGGAAUCACCCCGAGCCCCUCGGGACCUCAACCAACCAUACCAAUAAGUCAUAUAGUAACAUACAAACUUAGUUGAGCCUUCGAAUCACUCAAAACAAUAUCAAAACACCAAACCACCCUCGGAUUCAAGGCUAAGAACUUCUAAACUUCUAAAUUCCACAAAUGACGUCGAAACCUACUAAACCACGUCCGAAUGACCUCAAAUUUUACACACACGUCACAAAUGAUACCACAAACCUACUCCAAUUUUCAUAAAUCGAUUCCGACCCCGAUAUCAAAUUUUUCACUGCCGACCGAAAUCGCCAAAUUUCCAACUUUCGCCAAUUCAAGCAUAAUCGCGCUACGGACCUCCAAAUCAUAUUAAGGAUGCGCUCCUAAGUCCAAAAUCACAUAACGAAACUAAUGGAAUCAUCAGAACUAAAUUCCGAGAUCGUUUACACAUAAGUCAACAUCCGAUUGACUUUUCUAACUUAAGCUUCUAAAUAAGAGACUAAGUAUCUCAAUCCACUCCGGACUCAAACUAACUAAUCCGGUAUAUUAUAACAUAGCUGAAAAGUACAAAAAGAAGCAGAAAUGGAGGAAACGGGACUAUAACUCUCGAAACGACCGGCCGGAUCGUUAUAUCAUAUCUUUGCCACUUCUGACGUAGUUGGUAGAUUGUAUAUUCGUUGAUCUUGACCAGCAUCACACUUAAGCGCAAUGUAUAAAUCUGAUAAUUGUGGGAUAUUUAUUAAGAAUUUCAAAAAUAUAUAGUAAGGAUUGAUUUUUAAUAUUUCCAUUAAAUGUUUCACAGUACACUCGUUCAAUUUAUUAGAACAUGCCAUUCGAUUGCUCACUUCAUUUUUAUUAUCAUAGAAAUAUAAUUGUAGAUUUUUUCCUUUUUCAUUACUUGGCAUCAAGUCAUUUAUGAAAUGAUACAUUUGUCCCUGAACUCGAAACGUAUAAAUACCUUUAUUCCUUUUUGCCAGUUCUUUGUCAUAGCUUACUCCCAGGGAUGUGAAUGCAAAUAUAUUAUUGUAUGUUCUUAUGUAGGUUCGAAAAUGCUUUGAUUCUUCAGUAUUUCCUAGAUACAUAUUUCUUAAUUCUUGUGGUACUUGAUGUGAAAUUAGCUUAAUAGUGCCUUUGCGAUAACAGAAUGCCGGUGGUUCGUAUUCAAAUUUUUUGGUUCCGCAAAAUUUGCAUUUGGGAACAGUCUUUAACAUAACAUAAUUAGUUAGUGUUUGGAUUUUUAUUGACUCUUCAGUAUAUUGUUCAUGAUUUGUGUUAGAUGUAGAUCCUAGAAUACAACAAUAGCAAGUGUAAGUAUAUAAUUUUGAUAGUUAUAAAUGCAUAUAUGUAUUUAUAAUUGCGUAUACCAUCAAGAAAUGAUAGUAUAGCUCUCUAACAUGUUUCAUAUAUUGAAUGUCCCACAAAAAGAAGAUAUUGCUCGCUUGAAAUAUUAGCACUCAUAGAGGAUGAUGCGUUAGCGGAGCUCUUAAUUAGCGAGCAGGCAGGACGUUGUCGGCCGCUUGUUUCAGCUUUAUUUGCUCGUGCUCGUGCUAGGAGAGCCUCCUUUUUAUCGUCCUACAUCAUUCUGUAUAAUUCGCGUCGCCUAGUCUUCUUGUCAGCAUGUAUUUUUUUGAAGUUUUCAAUUUUAUGAUUUUUACUCGAUAUUUCACUUGUUUACUUCCUGAAUGGGAAAUGUCACGUAUAUAUUUACAUUACUGAAUGUAUAAAAAUCCACAUCUGGAAUAACAUAAAAGUUACACGUAGUAUGUAUGUAUGUAUGCAUUCAUUUUUUAGAAGAACCCACGUAAAAAUGUACAAUACCUAUAAAUAAAUGAUGAGAAAUUAGAAAAUUUACCUUCUGGUUCAAGUGCUACUGCAUAGGAGAAGUAGAAACAACCAUAACGGAUCGCAAGAACUGCAAUGAAAAAGAGAGUAAAUUGUGUCAUGUACAACAGAGGCAAAAAAGCAAAGAACAAAUAGAGGCCUCAUAUUAAACUUUGACUUUAUCCCCUGCAUAUGCUUGAAAUUGAAUUGCAUCUACCAUAGACUUAUCAAAAAAAUUUGAAACAAAAAACUAUUCAUUUUUCUACAAAAACAUGCAUUAAAUUCAUCAAUGAGAAAGGGACCAAUUUCUUCAUACUCAUUCCUAAGCACUUCUCCUAAAAAAUAUUUUAGAUGAUGCUUUUAUAAAUAUUUCAUAUUCUGAUUAUUAUGCAUGUGAUGAUUGUUGGUUAGUGUGUGGUUUCUUAAUGUGAAAAUAGAAAAAGUAAAGGGAGAAGGAACAGCUGCACAACAGCUUGACUUAAAAAGAGGGGAGGGAUCUAAGAGCUUAAAAGAAGAGCCAAAAAGGGCACUCGGCCUUCUUCUUCCAAAGGAGUCAAUCCCAAUAUCGUCUCAUGGUAGCCAUAGAAACCACCACAUAAAGGUCAUUUUGCUUUCUUUCUUCUCUUAACAUCUAUAUACAAUAGCUAAAGACAAAGGAAUAAUACUAAUUACUUCUUCUAAAAAUCCAGCAAAUUGAGCCAUUUUUUUCCAUUAAAACAACCCUUCAAUCACUCCAAAAAUGUCGCCCAUCAACAACCAAGAACUAGAAAUAAAUCACCGCUAAACUUGCCCCCAAAAUAACCCAAAAACAGCCCAGAAAUCCAGCUGAAAGCAGUCGAAAACAUCACCAAAAUCACUCCAAAAAAGGCUGAAAAAUACAGCCAAAAACCAAUUUCAUCUCCAGCCCAGAAACACCAUGAACACUAUCCAUAAAUACCUGAAAAUCCAGUCUAAAAUCAACUUGCUUUACCCUUAAACAGACCACCAACCCAGCUUCAAAAUAGUCCAAAAAAAUGGCAAUAAAAAGUAGUUGCCUCAUGCGACCAAAAACGCAGUUGUUGUUGUUGUCUUCUUCCUCUAAAAAAAUGAUCUCAAAUAACAUGUAAACCAACUGAAAAUACAAACCCAACAGUUGGCUUCUAUCUCCAUUCGAGUUCGUCGAUUCCGGUUUAAGGUUCUGAUCGGUAAGCUCAUUUGAGAGAAUUUCCUCCCAAUCUCCAAAUAUUCAAUCCAAGGCAAUAAAGAACAUGAUUUCAUAGCUUUCAACACCCAAAUUAAAUGAAGGGUGAUAAUUUUAAAUUCUAAAUAAAUGGCAUUCCAAUGACAAAAACGUAUAAAAACUUAACCACACACUGAAACAUAAUCGAAAAAUCCGUAAAAAUCACAUAAAAAUUAGAACAAAAACUACCUGGAGCUGCCUUGGGUAAAAGAAGAGCAAAGAGAAGGGAUGGGGUAAAAACUCUAAUUUUGGAUGAUGAGGUUAUUUUAGGGAUUCAGAGAAAUUUACCAAAUAUUAAAUUCUUCAAAUUCUUUUGGUAAGAAAAUGACUAAGAUUGUCUCCAACCUAACACUAAAUAUUACACCAAAUUCUAUGUUGGUAUAAUAUUUGGUGUUUUGGUGCUCCAAUCCAACACCAUUUUUCUCUUUUAAUUACUGCAUCAUUCACUUUUUCUCUUCUUUGAUUCCACCACCAUGGCCACAAUUUCUUUUUUCUUUUUCUUUUUUUGCAACUUUUUUGGAGGACAAUCUAAUCUUAAACUUGAUGACUGAGUUGUCACAAAGCCGAGUUUAGGUCACUCUGUCCACACAUAUCAGGUAUCUCAUUUUUCAAAUUUGCUGGUAUUGUGUUUUAUUUUUUGGUGCAAUUUUUUACUUUCUAAUGCUGUUGCUACUGUAGUAUUUAGUUGACUUUAUUUCUGAUGUCAAAGAAAGUAAAACAAAGAAAGUACAUCAACGGACUGCAGAAAAAACUCACGAACACAAAGAGCUCAGAUGAACACAAAAAGAAGAAGCUGAUGAAAUUAGAGACUCACAAAAGGAAAAUUGCAGAAAUGAAAUUGAGAAAGAGAAGAGAUUCCAGAAAAGCAUCAAACACUGCUCUUCAGUGCCACCAUGCCGACAGAAAUUGAACCAAGUAAAAAAAUUGAAUUUAUUUUCUUGAUUUCAAUUCAUCUCCGCAACAAAAACAAACAGAAAGAAAUUCCCCAAUUUCAGCCAUCAAAACCCUAACUCGAAAAUCCAUAAUUAAUUCAAUCUAUUUUUAUGGAUUUGAAACAAAAAAGAAGGAGAAAUNNNNNNNNNNNNNNNNNNNNNNNNNUUUUUGAGCUUAUCUCUAUACGUGGCUUUUCUGUACCUACACAACUACUACGUGUAGCUUUUAGGUUAUUCCAGAUGUGGGUUUUUAUCCAAUUUCUUUACAUCACAAUUUACAGAGCUUCUCAGAUUAUCUUCCGUCUUGCUCAUCUCUUCAACUUACAUGUGCAUUUCUUAUUCUUUAGCAUCAGUCUUGUUGCUUUCUAUUUGUUUCUCCUUCUUUUUUAUUUUGCGACUUCUCCUUUUCGUUACUCCAAAGCUGCAUCAUUUGUGCCUGUGAAUAUGAGCUUUCUUAAUUUCUUGCACUCAAUAUGUUUACUUCAUAUUAGAUAAUUCAUUUUCCUAUUGUUUCCUACCUUUGAUACAUGCAUGUUGUGAUUUCUUCUACUAUUUCAUGUGUAUCAAAGAAAUAUUUUCGGCUGUGAUUUGCUUCUAACCCCCUCCUCCCCCCCCUCUCCCUUCAAUUUAAGAAAUAAUGCUAGUUGAUUAACUGUCCAUUGAAGCAUUUCCAUAUAAUAUCCCACUAUCACUAUGUUUCAGAUGAUGCUUUUAUAAAUAUUUCCUAUUCUGAUUAUUAUGCAUGUGAUGAUUGUUGGUUAGUGUGUGGUUCCUUCAUGUGAAAAUAGGAAAAGUAAAGGGAGAAGGAACAACUGCACAGCAGCUUGACUAGGGGGGGGGGGGAUCUGAGAGCUUAAAAGAAGAGCCAAAAAAGGCACUCGGCCUUCUUCUUCCAAAGGAGUCAAUCCCAAUAUCGUCUCAUGGUAGCCAUAGAAACCACCACAUAAAGGUCAUUUUUCUUUCUUUCUUCUCUUAAUAUCUAUAUACAGUAGCUAAAGACAAAUGAAUAAUACUAAUUACUUCUUCUAAAAAUUCAGCAAAUUGAGCUUUUUCCCCCAUUAAAACAGCCCUUCAAUCACCCAAAAUCACCCCAAAAACGUCACCUAUCAACAAUCAAGAAUCAGAAAUAAAUCACUGCCAAACUUGUCCCAAAAACUGCCCAAAAAUAGCCCAAAAACAGCCAUGAAAUCAAGCUGAAAGCAGUCGAAAACAUCACCAAAAUCACUUCAAAAACGGCUGAAAAAUGCAGCCAAAAACGAGCUUCAUCUCCAGCCCAGAAACACUAUGAAAACUGUCCAAAAACACCUGAAAAUCCAGUCUAAAACCAACCUGCUUCACUCUUAAAUAGACCACCAACCCAACUUCAAAACAGUCCAAAAAAAAAGGCAAUAAAAACGCAGCUGCCUCAUGCGACCCAAAAUGUAGCAGCUGCUGUUGUCUUCUUCCUCUAAAAACGAUCUCAAAUUACAUGUAAACCAACUGAAAAUACAAACAAAACAGCUGGCUUCUAUCUCCAUUCGAGUUCAUCGAUUCCGGUUCAAGGUUCUGAUCGGUAAGCUCAUUUGAGAGAAUUUCCUCCCAAUCCCCAAAUAUUCAAUUCAAGGCAAUAAAGAACAUGAUUUCAUAGCUUUCAACACCCAAAUUAAAUGAAGGGUGAUAAUUUUAAAUUCUAAAUAAAUGUCAUUCCAAUGACAAAAACGUAUAAAAACUUAACCACACACUGAAACAUAAUCGAAAAAUCCGUAAAAAUCACAUAAAAAUUAGAACAAAAACUACCUGGAGCUGCCUUGGGUAAAAGAAGAGCAAAAAGAAGGGAUGGGGUAAAAACUCUAAUUUUGGAUGAUGAGGUUAUUUUAGGGGUUCAGAGAAAAUUACCAAAUAUUAAAUUCUUCAAAUUCUUUUGGUAAGAAAAUGACUAAGAUUGUCUCCAACCUAACACUAAAUAUUACACCAAAUCCUAUGUUGGUGUAAUAUUUGGUGUUUUGGUGCUCCAAUCCAACACCAUUUUUCUCUUUUAAUUACUGCACCAUUCACUUUUUCUCUUCUUUGAUUCCAUCAUCAUGGCCACAAUUUCUUUUUUCUUUUUUUUUUUUGCAACUUUUUUGAAGGACAAUCUAAUCUUAAACUUGAUGACUGAGUUGUCACAAAGCCGAGUUUAGGUCACUCUGUCCACACAUAUCAGGUAUCUCAUUUUUCAAAUUUGCUGGUGUUGUGUUUUAUUUUUUGGUGCAAUUUUUUGCUUUCUAAUGCUGUUGCUGCUGUAGUCUUUGUUAAUUUUUUAGUUGACUUUAUUUCUGAUGUCAAAGAAAGUACAACAAAAGAAAAGCAACCCAAAAAAACGCAAUUACAAACAAAAAAAGUACAUCAACGGACUGCAGAAAAAACUCACGAACACAAAGAGCUCAGAUGAACACAAAAAGAAGAAGCUGAUGAAAUUAGAGACUCACAAAAGGAAAAUUGCAGAAAUGAAAUUGAGAAAGAGAAGAAAUUCCAGAAAAGCAUCAAACACUGCUCUUCAGUGCCACCAUGCCGACAGAAAUUAAACCAAGUAAAAAAAUUGAAUUUAUUUUCUUGAUUUCAAUUCAUCUCCGCAACAAAAACAAACAGAAAGAAAUUCCCCAAUUUCAGCCAUCAAAAUCCUAACUCAAAAAUCUGUAAUUAAUUCAAUCUAUUUUCAUAGAUUUGAAAAAAAAAAAGAAGGAGAAACAAAUAGAAAGCAACAAAACUGAUGUUAAAGAAUAAGAAACGCAUAUGUAAGUUGAAGAGAUAAGCAAAACGGAAG
Molecule: long non-coding RNA, 8968 nt
Filed under: Nicotiana tabacum (common tobacco)
Lineage: Eukaryota; Viridiplantae; Streptophyta; Magnoliopsida; Solanales; Solanaceae
Description: long non-coding RNA (NTAB_LNC017106)
Source: RNAcentral